RNAcentral lists this transfer RNA (72 nucleotides) under Sphaerodactylus townsendi. RNAcentral describes it as "tRNA-Thr". It matches the Rfam family "tRNA". From Rfam's summary of the family: Transfer RNA (tRNA) molecules are approximately 80 nucleotides in length. Their secondary structure includes four short double-helical elements and three loops (D, anti-codon, and T loops). The record is from RNAcentral. Lineage: Eukaryota; Metazoa; Chordata; Lepidosauria; Squamata; Sphaerodactylidae.
GGGGCCACAGCUCAGUGGCAGAGCAUCUGCUUUGUAUGCAGAAGGUCCUUGUUUCAAUCCUUGGCAUCUCCA